This is a long non-coding RNA of Galeopterus variegatus (Sunda flying lemur), 262 nucleotides long. RefSeq lists it as uncharacterized. NCBI's taxonomy places the organism in Eukaryota, Metazoa, Chordata, Mammalia, Dermoptera, Cynocephalidae. The record is from RefSeq and is a predicted model, not a curated record. The transcript is spliced from 2 exons.
UUGGCUUCCUCACACCAGGGUCCAGCCAUCAGUGCCAGGGAAGGAGUCCAGUUGUCACUGCCUGGGGCACAAGCCCACUCCUUGGGCCAAUCUCUGUCGCCAGAGCAACACCAGGCCUGGGUCACCUGUCCACUCCUGGGUGUUCCCUGCCUUGUGAAGCUGACCCUCUCUGAAAUUCCUGGCUUCAAAAUAAGGGGAAUUUCCAAAAGAAAGUCAGGCCAUAACCUGGCCUUGGUUAAUAAUAAAGGACUCUUUCUUUUGC